GGCUUCAUAGCUCAGUUGGUUAGAGUCUCACACCAGCAUUGCGAGGUCACGGGUUCAAACCCCGUUGACGUCC
RNAcentral lists this transfer RNA (73 nucleotides) under Acropora cervicornis. RNAcentral's name for it is "tRNA-Ala". It matches the Rfam family "tRNA". From Rfam's summary of the family: Transfer RNA (tRNA) molecules are approximately 80 nucleotides in length. Their secondary structure includes four short double-helical elements and three loops (D, anti-codon, and T loops). The record is from RNAcentral. Lineage: Eukaryota; Metazoa; Cnidaria; Anthozoa; Scleractinia; Acroporidae.